AGCGAACGCUGGCGGCAGGCUUAACACAUGCAAGUCGAACGCCCCGCACGGGGAGUGGCAGACGGGUGAGAAACACGUGGGAACGUACCCUUUGGUUCGGAAUAACUUGGGGAAACUCAAGCUAAUACCGGAUAAGCCCUUAGGGGGAAAGGUUUACUGCCGAUGGAUCGGCCCGCGUCUGAUUAGCUAGUUGGUGAGGUAAUGGCUCACAAAGGCGACAAUCAGUAGCUGGUCUGAGAGGAUGAUCAGCCACACUGGGACUGCGAAACGCCCCAGACGCCUACGGGAAGCAGCAGUGGGGAAUAUUGGACAAUGGGUGCAACCCUGAUCCAGCCAUGCCGCGUGAGUGAUGAAGGCCUUAGGGUUGUAAAGCUCUUUUACCCGGGACGAUAAUGACUGUACCGGGAGAAUAAGCCCCGGCUAACUUCGUGCCAGCCGCCGCCGUAA
Molecule: ribosomal RNA, 447 nt
Filed under: uncultured bacterium
Lineage: Bacteria
Description: partial 16S ribosomal RNA
Rfam family: Bacterial small subunit ribosomal RNA
Source: RNAcentral